UCGGGAAUUUUGGGCAAUGGGCGAAAGCCUGACCCAGCAACGCCGCGUGAAGGAUGAAGUAUUUCGGUAUGUAAACUUCGAAAGAAUAGGAAGAAUAAAUGACGGUACUAUUUAUAAGGUCCGGCUAACUACGUGCCAGCAGCCGCGGUAAUACGUAGGGACCAAGCGUUGUUCGGAUUUACUGGGCGUAAAGGGCGCGUAGGCGGCUUGACAAGUCACUUGUGAAAUCUCUGGGCUUAACCCAGAACGGCCAAGUGAAACUGUCAUGCUAGAGUGCAGAAGGGGCAAUCGGAAUUCUUGGUGUAGCGGUGAAAUGCGUAGAUAUCAAGAGGAACGCCUGAGGUGAAGACGGGUUGCUGGGCUGACACUGACGCUGAGGCGCGAAAGCCAGGGGAGCAAACAGGAUUAGAUACCCACGUAGUCCCUGAGCGGGCUGGCAAGGCGCAU
This 447-nucleotide ribosomal RNA is filed under the name uncultured bacterium. Its description in RNAcentral is "bacterial SSU rRNA". It matches the Rfam family "Bacterial small subunit ribosomal RNA", at positions 355 to 825 of the family's 1533-position model. The record is from RNAcentral.